Long non-coding RNA from Thalassophryne amazonica, 167 nucleotides. RefSeq lists it as uncharacterized. NCBI's taxonomy places the organism in Eukaryota, Metazoa, Chordata, Actinopteri, Batrachoidiformes, Batrachoididae. The transcript is spliced from 3 exons. The record is from RefSeq and is a predicted model, not a curated record.
AAUGAGUAUUGUGAUGCCAUGAAAAAUCAACUACUGCAUGGAAGAAAUAAUUUUCCUGCAAAAGAAUCAUAAAUGAUUUUGAAAAUAAACAAACAGGAAACAACUUCAAAGAUUACAAUUUAUACUUCAAAAUCAUUUGUUUCUUUAACAUGAAGCAUUCAAGCAGC